This 254-nucleotide unclassified non-coding RNA is filed under the name uncultured Gemmatimonadota bacterium. RNAcentral describes it as "uncultured Gemmatimonadetes bacterium contains 16S-23S intergenic spacer region". It matches the Rfam family "Bacterial small subunit ribosomal RNA", at positions 524 to 776 of the family's 1533-position model. Lineage: Bacteria; Pseudomonadati; Gemmatimonadota. The record is from RNAcentral.
UACGGAGGGUGCGAGCGUUGUUCGGAAUUAUUGGGCGUAAAGGGCGCGUAGGUGGCUCGAUAAGUCGAUCGGUGAAAUGCCGGGGCUCAACCCCGUGCCUGCCGGCGAUACUGUCGAGCUAGAGACAGGUAGAGGCGAGCGGAAUUCCGGGUGUAGCGGUGGAAUGCGUAGAGAUCCGGAAGAACACCAGAGGCGAAGGCGGCUCGCUGGGCCUGAUCUGACACUGAGGCGCGAAAGCGUGGGGAGCAAACAGG